AACAGAAAAAUAAUAACAACCGUGGGUUUCGCUGUUGUUGUCAGUGUUGCUUUUCAGGUGUACUGAGACGCUUGCUAAGCUCGGAGUUUCCAACUCAUUGCUUAUUUUGCAAAGUAAACAAGCAAAUGUUAUGUGCAUAACCUUAGCUGUCUCUGCAAAGGUCAGUGCGUGGCUGCUAAUUUCUUCUCCUGCCUUUUGGUGGCACUCUGAUGCCAGCGAUUACUUCUGGCGCGUUUGGGAAACAAGACGUCCUUUCUUAACAAAAGACUCAAUCUACAAAGGCCACAAAACAAAAAUUGAUUAAAGUUGAACCGUAGUAUGAAAGUUUACUUUGGUGUAUCAAAUAGCCCGGUAAGCUCUACGUAGCAGCUCAUCUGUAACGGGGGCCAUGGGGCGUCACUGGGCGCAACUGGGACUGCAUGGACAGCUGAACUCCAUGAUUUUGACUAGAGGUGACAGCUGAAAAGCACCAGAAACCCUUGGAAUUUCAGAUCUAUAUAUUACUAUAAAGGAAGAAAAUAAAGUUCCGCUAGUAGAAGUUUGGCAUGUACUUACCAACAGCAUGGCGGGAUGUCUGCAGUGAAAUGUUCCCAGCUCUGUGACCUCCUGCUGCAGGAAAAGAUCAAUAUUAUAAAGAGGUCAAGUGACUCCGUGAAUUAGUCUCCUGCGUUUUCACUCCUGGAAGUGGCGGAUCUAAUCCUGUUUGGAGAAGUAUCCAGUGUGGACUACAGCUGCUGAGAAGACACCAGACUAAACGGACCAUUGGAAAUUGCACGUGCUGAUAUCAUUCCUUUAAAUAGGAAUGAUUUGCUCUUAUGCUUGAUAAACACAUAAGUAGAAGCCUAGUCUUUUCAUUUCUGCCUCUUUUCCUGGAGGGCCAGGGGAUCUCCCAGUGCUGUCUGUUCUUUUCCUCUGUGUUUUGCAGGCAAGGGAAUCUCAUGCAAGCCUCAGCUCCACAUCCUCUGAAGAGGCAACAUUAAAGUCAGCACUUGACUGCACUGAAUUUUACAGGAUUUUCUCCCAAGAUCUUUCUGGCAAGCAUUGCACUCUCCUGGGUUUCGAUGCUGUGAGAAUUACAAUUCAUCCAGAGUUCAAGCCUUUGGUUAAGACAAUGUCCUCAGGGUUAUGAGGUAUGUUAAAUGGCAGAAGAAAAAGCUACUGUUCUGGUUCCCCUGCUCAGCUGCAUUGCAUCAGGUGUGCCGUGGAAUAGCUAAUCCCAUUCUAUUUAGACAUCCAGACCUCAACUCCACAGAGGUCACUUCUGCAACCCAGCAGAGCUUUGUGGGCUUUCCCUUUGACCUUGGCCAUGUAGAAGCACCAGGACCUCACACGCAAUUAAAAACAUGGGGUUGGAGUACCACAACUCAGUAUCAGGCCCAUUCUUUAUUCCCUUUUCUCUGGAAGGAAAUGACUGGAAUAUGACUCAGCCCACUGCUAAUCCCAGAAGUAGGUGAGAUCAAUCCCCGUGUAAAGGCAUGGCACCUCCCACAGCUCUGCUUCUUGACGUGGUGCUUGUGGGUUUUAGCAGCCUCUAGUGAAAAGACAAGGAGAAAUUCUUUGCUGUUUUUUUUUUUUUCUUUUAUUGUUUUUGUUUCAUACUUUCAUUUUUGUUUUAUCCAUAAAGACUCCUUGAAGCUGAAACACUUUGCAGAAGCACCCAUUGAUGCCCAGAAAGAGGAGCACUUUCUACUUAAGUCAGCAGCUUCCUUAUCUUGUAGACUGCCAGGGAGACUGAGCCCAUGGGUUACAGCUUUUAGAGGCCCCUCUACAUCACCCAGCUCUCCCUCCAUCAGCAUGGGGCUGCCAAGGGCUGUGUUGAACCCAUCUGAAGUGAGACCUCAGCUCCCAGGAGUGCCCCAGCCUCUGGUCAGGCAGAUCCCAUCCUGUUGGCUCCUGGCAGAUUGGGUAUUCAACAAGCUUCACAGACCCAUCACAGGGCCCUUUCCUAUUUCUUUUUAAGGAAACAUUCUGAUAUGAUAUUUUCUCCCUCUGUGGGAAAUGUCAACAUUUAUGAAAUGGGAGCAAACUGUUUAAAUUUUUUAUAGACUGAAAAGAUUAAGCUUCGGCCAGCUCUCGUCAAAAUUUCCCUGGUUCCCCAUAAGCAAAUGAAUUUGAGUGAAAAAGCGUCGUUGUCUGUAGUGCUGCACAGAGGAAGCCAUCAACUUGUUCCCUGCAGUCCUACCUUGUUACUUGAGUAUGCAUGGGAAUCUGAGGUGUGUCUUUAUAGGUCCGUAUUUCCACGACCUCCAGUAUUCUUUCUCUCAUUUGUUAUUUUAUCGUGUAACCUGGAUAGAGCUACAAUUCUAGUGGCACUUUAAAACACUAUUGCUUGUAUAUGCUCCAAUUGCAGCUCUGAUGAAGCAGAUGAGAUAAAGCAGUGUUCUCAUCUCUGCAUCUCAGACACAAUAAGGACAGAUAAAGAAAUGCAAAGACCAUUGCAAAACACUGUUUAUUACUAUUUUCAGUGGCAGUGAGUACUCCAAAUGAAUCUCUGCACAGCUGAACUUUUGCACAGACAAUACUGCUGGGACCUCAGCAGACCACAGUCAGCUCAUUUUUGCAUCUGAAUCCCUAAAAAAAGAACACCCAGACUUUUAGGGUGGAAUUCAUUUUAAUCAAAUAUUUGGGUCUUAUGCUGCGGCUUUAAAAUAAUCACUGUCCAGUGGAAAGUGAUACAAUAUGGCACACUGAAAAACAUUCCCAAAUUCACCGGAAUGCAAUCACUGAGGAGUUCAUUUUCUGUAAGGUCUUAAAACACAACCAUGCAGUAAAAAAACUUUAUUUCAUUGUCUGGCUAUUCUGCCAAGUCCGUUCCUUCCUGGAAUGUUUAUUAAAUUUAGUUUCAUGUGGUCUGUAAAUAUAUAUACAUAUAUGCAUUCAUAUCUGGUCUCCUCUUGCCUCAGGAGGCUGGGUGGGCUGCAGCCUGCUUUAGGGGAAUUAGUACUAGCGCUGAAAUUUUAGCUACAUGCAAAGAUGUGACAAAACAAAUUUGCUUUCCCUGUGGGAGCUUUGUCCUCCCUGUGGAUGACUAAAUCUAGAUUACAUAGCUCGUGCCGAUAAAAAUGCAACAAUCUUUUCUUUCGUUAUUAUUUCUGUGUUUGAGUUUUUCUUUCUUUUUUUGUUUUCUUUUUUGACCAAGAGCACGGAGUAUUGACUUGAUGAUUCCAACGCAGCUGUCUGGCAGUGUUAAUCAAUGAUCUCUGCUUGCUCACAAUGUACUACCAGCGUUAGAUCAUGGUGACAAGAGCAGUACAAGCUUAGUGCAGCCUCCGAGUAAAUCAUCACUUUCUUAGUCACUGUGAGCACUUGGACUAAAUGAGCAUUUGGAGUAAAUACUGUUUUCUGCAUGUUAGAAAUGAAGCAAAAUUCCUCUCCUCUCCUCUCCUCUCCUCUCCUCUCCUCUCCUCUCCUCUCCUCUCCUCUCCUCUCCUUUCACAAGCUGUUUCAUAUCUCCUACUAUUGCGCCUGUCAAGAUAUUCUUCUGUCUUCCAUAGCUAGAUAAUUGAAUCCCUAUUAUUUUCAUAGUCUUAAUGAAGGUUCUCUAAGAUCCUUGCUUGUUACAUCUGAAAAUUGAAUAAAAAAUUCCUUUGUGCUGACAGCUUCAUUGUAGUCAGUGUUCAAAAUAUCAAAGGAAGAAUGCUAAAUGUUCAUAAUGUAAAGUGUCAGGAGUGCAAUCUGGGAUAAUAGAAUACAUGUCUUGCAAACUUGCACUUUAAUAUGGCAAACUACUUGGUCAGCAAGCAAAUUAAUUCAUUUAGGAUUUGAUAUUAUUGCAUGUAGUGGGUCAGCUUUUGCAGGCAGCUCUGUCUUAUGAUGAAUUUUGCUAGCACACGACACUGUGUGUGCAGAUGCCAACCACAGAAUGACUGCAUGCUUGGUGUAAGGAUAUAACAGCAGUGACUUCCCAAAUAUGUCUCUGUUCGCUGUAUUUCUUUGUAAGCUCGCUUCCUUUUUUUUUUUUUCUCCAGUGCAUGCUCACUGUUCAAAGAGACUAAUAAACAUUUGCAGUAAUUAUCUGGUUAUCCCUUCAAAAUACCAAAUGUUGUACAGUAUGAAUUGAUGGCACAGAUGUUUGAAGCAUGAACAGAUGAAUGCAGUGAAAUGCUGUCAAUGGAGUGUUGUCUCCCACAGUUCCACCAAGAAACCUGAACAUAUUUUCUGGCAGAACUGCUCAUUUUCCCAGGGCAGAUAUUUGCAAGCUUACCUCUGUAGCUUGUGAAUACCAAAAUGAAUGGUAAAUAUUAACCUCUGAGAGCUAGAACAAUGUGAAAAAUUACAAAAGUAAAUGUUAGCAGAGAUAUCUGUUACACAGGCAAAGAGAGAGACGGCACUGAAAGGAUUUAUGUUAUUUUUGAGCCUUGGCUUGCACACGAAUGAUGUGAAUUUUUCUACUGAAAGAAAACUGAGGUCCAAUUUUUCAAAACGUUGCCUUGAAGUUUUGUUUUUCAGAGUUGGGGACCUGAUUGGAAAAGCAGCUCUCUGGAAAAAUAAUUAUGGAAGACAAAAAAUAAUAAUAAAAGAGAAAGAAAAUAUGUGACGUGCUGUAGAAGUUAUAGCUGCAAACAGGUUUUCAUUCUCUUGUGCAUAAGCAAAUAAAUACAAAAUAAAAGAAACUACACAAAUGGA
Molecule: long non-coding RNA, 4626 nt
Organism: Tympanuchus pallidicinctus (lesser prairie-chicken)
Lineage: Eukaryota; Metazoa; Chordata; Aves; Galliformes; Phasianidae
Exons: 6
Source: RefSeq, a predicted model, not a curated record